Long non-coding RNA from Tribolium castaneum (red flour beetle), 566 nucleotides. RefSeq lists it as uncharacterized. Lineage: Eukaryota; Metazoa; Arthropoda; Insecta; Coleoptera; Tenebrionidae. The record is from RefSeq and is a predicted model, not a curated record. The transcript is spliced from 2 exons.
UUCAAUUUUUUACAAUAUUAAGAAUUUUAUCAAUAUUACUUAGCCACUGAGUGAAGUGUAUUCGUAGUUUACUUAUCGUGGGAACUGUUACAAAAGCGCGCAUUGGAGAGUGUUAAUAUAGUGGUUUAAACCAGUUGUUCAGUAAGUCAUCGUAUACAUGUUUGAGACUCAAGAUAAGACAUUAUUUCCUUACCUUACUGAAGCAUGCACCGGGCCAUCAGCAAGUGAAAAUACAUGAACAAUCGAUGAAAAUAAUGUCGCAAUCUUACAAAUUUACUCACUCUAGACCAUUCCAACAAACAACUGUAGCAAAAUUCGUGCAUGCAGGAAUUGGCCCGACAUUUGUUUUUGCACGUCCCCAAGCAGAUAGCACAGUGUGGGGGCGGGCUAGCGGUGUCAGCACGGGGGCUUGCCAGUUUACUGUCUGCCAUAUCACUAAAACUCGAUUUCACUGCAAAUGCACUCCGGAGAUGAAUGAAGUCAUGUUGAUUUAUCCACUAGUUCUGACCUUGCGAGUUUCGCGAUUUUCCUACGAUUAGACACACUAUCCACUCACGCAACAACAA